Molecule: non-coding RNA, 71 nt
Filed under: Geminigera cryophila
Lineage: Eukaryota; Cryptophyceae; Pyrenomonadales; Geminigeraceae
Source: RNAcentral
GCAAAAUGGGAUGAAAAGAAAAAAGAAAAAAGAAAAACAGAAUGCAAAUUGCAUUGGUCGUACCUUGUUUC